This is a long non-coding RNA of Sardina pilchardus (European sardine), 582 nucleotides long. RefSeq lists it as uncharacterized. The transcript has 3 exons. The record is from RefSeq and is a predicted model, not a curated record. NCBI's taxonomy places the organism in Eukaryota, Metazoa, Chordata, Actinopteri, Clupeiformes, Clupeidae.
CUGAGGUGUCUCGUUGCUACUGUGCCCUCAACUUCGAAGACUUCGACCAGAAGUUACCGUGACUCUUCACAUUUCCUCCAAAAGAACAAUAGUCUUUUUAAAGACUCCCUCUCCACCUUCCCUCUCAACCUUCCCUUGUGGUGCGGCUGUUUUUGCCAUUGAAAAAAGAAAAUCUCCAUCCUGCCUUCUUUGUGGUGCUGCAGACUUUUCAGGCUUGUUCCAGACCAGCCCUGUCAGAGUGGUGUCUGUCACUUGUGACACUGUGCCUGUCUGUCUGCACACCCUGCACUGCACUCAUAUACAACAGAACCCACUUACGCCUACCUGCAAACAUAUAACGACAAGUGACACUUUCUGAGAACAUACUUGACUGCACAUACUCUACUCUUUACAUAUAACUGUGUCCCCUCAGACAACUUCUUUGACUUUGAAACUUGAAUACUCCUUUGAAACUUGAAUACUCCUUUGAAACUUGAAUACUCCUUUGAAACUUGAAAACUUGGAAACUUGAAUACCACUCUGAACCAGCAGCAUCCUUUAACAUAACAUACCUACAAACAUACCUGCAAACAUAUAACGACA